RNAcentral lists this unclassified non-coding RNA (330 nucleotides) under soil metagenome. Its description in RNAcentral is "partial contains 5.8S ribosomal RNA, internal transcribed spacer 2, and large subunit ribosomal RNA". The stretch from base 1 to 121 matches the Rfam family "5.8S ribosomal RNA", at positions 35 to 154 of the family's 154-position model. The record is from RNAcentral.
GAUGAAGAACGCAGCGAAAUGCGAUAAGUAAUGCGAAUUGCAGAAUUUCCGUGAGUCAUCGAAUCUUUGAACGCACAUUGCGCCCUCUGGUAUUCCGGGGGGCAUGCCUGUUCGAGCGUCAUUAUAACCACUCAAGCUCUCGCUUGGUAUUGGGGCUCGCGGUUCCGCGGCCCCUAAAAUCAGUGGCGGUGCCUGUCGGCUCUACGCGUAGUAAUACUCCUCGCGAUUGAGUCCGGUAGGUCUACUUGCCAGCAACCCCCAAUUUUUACAGGUUGACCUCGGAUCAGGUAGGGAUACCCGCUGAACUUAAGCAUAUCAAUAAGCGGAGGA